CAACUUUUCUCAGGAAGGCGGUGAUGGCAGGGGAGCAGGUAAUAAUAACUUUGGAUUUGGCAAUUGUCAUUCACAUCCUGACCGACCUCUGCCACCGUUCUUUUCUGGAACUACUAGAUCCACCAGCCCCUGCCAAGGGCAGGGAUGAUAAAUGCUAUGCAUGGGGAAGAAUUAUUCUUGCUAAUGAUCUCCGCCUUAGAAAACCUCAGCCCCUGAUGAGACCCUCAGUUCAUCUUUCUACAUUUGUUGAGGCUUCAACCAACAGAGGCAACAAGAAAGCCAUUUCCAGCAACAAGGGCCUGCCUGUGUCGACAGCAAUCAUGUAGAAACCAAGGCUCAGAUGGGAUAACCGACUUUUCCAAGUCCAACAGACAGUAAGGAAAGGAAUGGCGAGAUCAACUCAGAUCUUCUCUUAGCCAUGCUGAGGGUAAUCGCCUUGCAAUUACCUCUUCAAUGGAUAUUCCUUGCAAGAAUUAAAACUCUAUUAGGCUUUUUCCAAGAUAGCUCCUUCCAGAACUCAGUUCAUCCAGGUCAAAAAAGCACUGGAAGGUAAAUUGGCAACCACUCAUCAUAUCACAUGAUGUUUUCCAAAAUGUAAGACUGUCCCAAUCAAAGGAGCUGGUAGCAAACAUAAUGAACGUCAGCUGAGACUCUAUAAACCAAAAAAGCCCUGGGUUGACUGUGUUCAUGUGACUUCAAAAGAGGGUAAUCUGCAGGGGGUGUUCCUGCAGGGCCUACUUUGCACCCUUUGCUACCCUUUAGAUACC
Molecule: long non-coding RNA, 767 nt
Filed under: Homo sapiens (human)
Lineage: Eukaryota; Metazoa; Chordata; Mammalia; Primates; Hominidae
Description: HSALNT0294687
Source: RNAcentral